CCUACGGGAGGCAGCAGUCGAGAAUCAUUCACAAUGGGGGAAACCCUGAUGGUGCGACGCCGCGUGGGGGAAUGAAGGUCUUCGGAUUGUAAACCCCUGUCAUGUGGGAGCAAAUUAAAAAGAUAGUACCACAAGAGGAAGAGACGGCUAACUCUGUGCCAGCAGCCGCGGUAAUACAGAGGUCUCAAGCGUUGUUCGGAAUCACUGGGCGUAACGCGUGCGUAGGCUGUUUCGUAAGUCGUGUGUGAAAGGCGCGGGCUCAACCCGCGGACGGCACAUGAUACUGCGAGACUAGAGUAAUGGAGGGGGAACCGGAAUUCUCGGUGUAGCAGUGAAAUGCGUAGAUAUCGAGAGGAACACUCGUGGCGAAGGCGGGUUCCUGGACAGUAACUGACGCUGAGGCACGAAGGCCAGGGGAGCGAAAGGGAUUAGAUACCCGAGUAGUC
Molecule: ribosomal RNA, 446 nt
Filed under: uncultured bacterium
Lineage: Bacteria
Description: partial 16S ribosomal RNA
Rfam family: Bacterial small subunit ribosomal RNA
Source: RNAcentral